CGUAGCCGCGGUAAUGCGAAGGGUGCAAGCGUUAAUCGGAAUUACUGGGCGUAAAGCGUGCGUAGGCGGUGAGUUAAGUCUGCUGUGAAAUCCCCGGGCUCAACCUGGGAAUGGCAGUGGAUACUGGCUCGCUAGAGUGUGUCAGAGGAUGGUGGAAUUCCCGGUGUAGCGGUGAAAUGCGUAGAGAUCGGGAGGAACAUCAGUGGCGAAGGCGGCCAUCUGGGACAACACUGACGCUGAGGCACGAAAGCGUGGGGAGCAAACAGGAUUAGAUACCCGCGUAGUCCCUGUCUCUUAUACC
This 301-nucleotide ribosomal RNA is filed under the name uncultured bacterium. RNAcentral describes it as "partial 16S ribosomal RNA". It matches the Rfam family "Bacterial small subunit ribosomal RNA", at positions 510 to 808 of the family's 1533-position model. The record is from RNAcentral.